RNAcentral lists this ribosomal RNA (432 nucleotides) under uncultured bacterium. Its description in RNAcentral is "partial 16S ribosomal RNA". It matches the Rfam family "Bacterial small subunit ribosomal RNA", at positions 29 to 507 of the family's 1533-position model. The record is from RNAcentral.
AACGAACGCUGGCGGCAGGCCUAACACAUGCAAGUCGAGCGCGCCCUUCGGGGUGAGCGGCGGACGGGUGAGUAACGCGUGGGAACGUGCCCUUUUCUACGGAAUAGCCUCGGGAAACUGAGAGUAAUACCGUAUACGCCCUUUGGGGGAAAGAUUUAUCGGAAAAGGAUCGGCCCGCGUUGGAUUAGGUAGUUGGUGGGGUAAUGGCCUACCAAGCCGACGAUCCAUAGCUGGUUUGAGAGGAUGAUCAGCCACACUGGGACUGAGACACGGCCCAGACUCCUACGGGAGGCAGCAGUGGGGAAUCUUAGACAAUGGGGGCAACCCUGAUCUAGCCAUGCCGCGUGAGUGAUGAAGGCCUUAGGGUUGUAAAGCUCUUUCAGCUGGGAAGAUAAUGACGGUACCAGCAGAAGAAGCCCGGCUAACUCCGUG